CACCUCAGGGCAACUCCUGGCUAGGGCCCAUGUGGUACCCACAGGGGCUACGUGACCUGCACAGGUGGCAGUGAGCACAGCUGGGCAGCCUCUAGGACCAGGAAGUGGGCCUGACUUUUUCUGAGCUGUUAACAGACACCAGAGACGUGCUGGCCUCGCAGGAGGCCUGGAGCCAGGCUGAGCCUCGUUUUCUCUCUCCACCACGAAACCUGAGGUUGGGUGGGCUCUUCAUGCCCCAGGCCAUGACCUCUCCUUGUUAAUGAGCCAUGAAUCGGUAGCAUUUCUGUGUGUCCCUUCUGAAAUUACCUUCUAACAUGCAUCGCUUUUCUGCCGGGCCCAUUUGUGCCCCUUCUGUUACAAGCCAUGAUGGCGACUUGCAGAGUGGUCUGGGCUUCGGCCUCCAGCCCUCCUGAUGGCCUGGGUGGGCCCCAGUUCCAUGUCUCCUCUCAGUUCCGUCACAGAUUGGGACCCAACGGGAGGAGAGCGGGGCAGAGGACUGCAUGGUGAGGACGGCGCUGGCAGGCAGGCAGCGCCCCUGAGGGAGCCCCCCGGAAUGGGACUUCCUGGACAGCCGCCCCAUCCACGCAGACUCCCUCCUGGACCCCUCUGGGGCCUGCAUUCCCGCCCUGCAGGAGGGGAUGGUGUGAAGGGGAGCUCUGUGGUCGGCACCCAGCGGCACUUGGCCACUGUGGCCCCAAGUCUUUGGAAGGUCCUCCUUUUUUGUCCACCAUUCCCGGUGGAGCUGCACUCCCAGGAGACUCCACCAGCUGAACUCCUGUCCCAGCUGGAGCAAGCUGAGCCCACUGAGGCACAGCCCACGGGACCAGCUCCAGCCCCAGGUGAAGUCCCACGUGUGGAGCCUGAGCCAGCUCCACCUGCAGAGCUUCCUGCCCAGCGCUGGGACCACAGCCAGAGUCCAUGGAAGCCCCUUCACCUGCUGCAGUGCUGGGUCACCCGGUGGCUGCACGGCGGUCAGUGUCACCUCCUGAGCCCUGCCUGGGGCCAGCUCCUGGCCCCCUCCCACUGUUCCCCCUCACUUACGGUGGCUCUUGUUUUGGUAUUUACAAUUGCCCUUAUUUCUUGGAUUUAUAUAAAUAAUAGAACUAGUUUUUAAUAAAACUUAAAA
Molecule: long non-coding RNA, 1126 nt
Filed under: Heterocephalus glaber (naked mole-rat)
Lineage: Eukaryota; Metazoa; Chordata; Mammalia; Rodentia; Bathyergidae
Description: lncRNA (ENSHGLG00100041212.1)
Source: RNAcentral